Procambarus clarkii (red swamp crayfish) is the source of this 295-nucleotide non-coding RNA. The record is from RefSeq and is a predicted model, not a curated record. NCBI's taxonomy places the organism in Eukaryota, Metazoa, Arthropoda, Malacostraca, Decapoda, Cambaridae.
ACAUGCAUCUGUAUGAGUAUAUAUAUAACAAUUUCAUCAAAUUUUGGAGAACACUUUGUAUGAAUACUUCUCAAAGAAAAUGUGACUUUUGCAAACUAUGGAAACACUUGAAACUCAAGUCAAAAAUAUAAAAAUAAUUACCAAUGACACCACUAGUUUUGACACCACUGUACUUCCCAAUCCUUAAUACAGACUUUAACACAAGCUUAAAUUCAUCAUAUUUUGAAGCUUGCAAAAAGGUAUGGUAGCCAUCAUAACACUCACCAACUUACAGACUUGCUAGAAAAUUGUAUUC